AGGGCUGUAGCUCAGUGGUAGAAUGUCAACUUGGCAUGCCAAAGAUCCCAGGUUCAAACCUUGGCUUCUCUA
Podarcis lilfordi (Lilford's wall lizard) is the source of this 72-nucleotide non-coding RNA. The record is from the annotation of a GenBank genome assembly. Lineage: Eukaryota; Metazoa; Chordata; Lepidosauria; Squamata; Lacertidae.